GAUCCUGGCUCAGGAUGAACGCUGGCGGCGUGCCUAAUACAUGCAAGUCGAACGCUUCACAUAUGUGAAGAGUGGCGAACGGGUGAGUAAUACAUAAGUAACCUGGCCUUUACAGGGGGAUAACUAUUGGAAACGAUAGCUAAGACCGCAUAGGUGUCAUAACCGCAUGGAGAUGAUAUGAAAUAUGCUACGGCACAGGUAGAGGAUGGACUUAUGGCGCAUUAG
RNAcentral lists this ribosomal RNA (225 nucleotides) under uncultured bacterium. RNAcentral's name for it is "partial 16S ribosomal RNA". It matches the Rfam family "Bacterial small subunit ribosomal RNA", at positions 15 to 244 of the family's 1533-position model. The record is from RNAcentral.